AGCUUUGCACAGUGGCCGUAUCAUAGCCAAUCAGGUUUAUCUGAGGAGUGAUUAUUGCUAAUUGACCAGUCAGGGAGUUUGGAUGAAGACUCCAGUUAGCUUGGGCAGAAAAGUAGUUUAUCAGAGGCAUUAUCUUUUUGUUCAUAAAUGGA
RNAcentral lists this small nuclear RNA (152 nucleotides) under Otolemur garnettii (small-eared galago). RNAcentral describes it as "U4 spliceosomal RNA (ENSOGAG00000022798.1)". Lineage: Eukaryota; Metazoa; Chordata; Mammalia; Primates; Galagidae. The record is from RNAcentral.